This 433-nucleotide ribosomal RNA is filed under the name uncultured bacterium. RNAcentral's name for it is "partial 16S ribosomal RNA". It matches the Rfam family "Bacterial small subunit ribosomal RNA", at positions 29 to 507 of the family's 1533-position model. The record is from RNAcentral.
AACGAACGCUGGCGGCAUGCCUAACACAUGCAAGUCGAACGAGACCUUCGGGUCUAGUGGCGCACGGGUGCGUAACGCGUGGGAACCUGCCCUUAGGUUCGGAAUAACUCCCCGAAAGGGGUGCUAAUACCGGAUAAUGUCUUCGGACUAAAGAUUUAUCGCCUUUGGAUGGGCCCGCGUUGGAUUAGCUAGUUGGUAGGGUGAAAGCCUACCAAGGCGACGAUCCAUAGCUGGUCUGAGAGGAUGAUCAGCCACACUGGGACUGAGACACGGCCCAGACCCCUACGGGAGGCAGCAGUGGGGAAUAUUGGACAAUGGGCGAAAGCCCGAUCCAGCAAUGCCGCGUGAGUGAUGAAGGCCUUAGGGUUGUAAAGCUCUUUUACCCGGGAUGAUAAUGACAGUACCGGGAGAAUAAGCUCCGGCUAACUCCGUG